ACUCAAAGGAAUUGACGGGGGCCCGCACAAGCGGUGGAGCAUGUGGUUUAAUUCGAUGCAACGCGAAGAACCUUACCUACUCUUGACAUCCACAGAAGACAGUAGAGAUACGGUUGUGCCUUCGGGAACUGUGAGACAGGUGCUGCAUGGCUGUCGUCAGCUCGUGUUGUGAAAUGUUGGGUUAAGUCCCGCAACGAGCGCAACCCUUAUCCUUUGUUGCCAGCACGUGAAGGUGGGAACUCAAAGGAGACUGCCGGUGAUAAACCGGAGGAAGGUGGGGAUGACGUCAAGUCAUCAUGGCCCUUACGAGUAGGGCUACACACGUGCUACAAUGGCGUAUACAAAGAGAAGCUACCCUGCGAAGGCAUGCGGACCUCAUAAAGUACGUCGUAGUCCGGAUUGGAGUCUGCAACUCGACUCCAUGAAGUCGGAAUCGCUAGUAAUCGUGGAUCAGAAUGCCACGGUGAAUACGUUCCCGGGCCUUGUACACACCGCCCGU
RNAcentral lists this ribosomal RNA (499 nucleotides) under uncultured bacterium. RNAcentral's name for it is "partial 16S ribosomal RNA". It matches the Rfam family "Bacterial small subunit ribosomal RNA", at positions 899 to 1397 of the family's 1533-position model. The record is from RNAcentral.